Aegilops tauschii subsp. strangulata is the source of this 1792-nucleotide RNA transcript. It is a transcript of the gene named probable 3-deoxy-D-manno-octulosonic acid transferase, mitochondrial, with no coding region annotated. NCBI's taxonomy places the organism in Eukaryota, Viridiplantae, Streptophyta, Magnoliopsida, Poales, Poaceae. The record is from RefSeq and is a predicted model, not a curated record.
GCCUCUUUCGUUGGAUCGGCCAGGUUCCAACCAUGCGGCCGGCCCAUGCGCCGGCGUCGGCGGCGCGCGGAGGCCGGGCGCUGUACGAGCUGUACAGGGCGGCGAGCCGCGCGGCGGCGCCGGCGGUGCUCCUGUGGCGGCGGCUGCGAGGGCUGGAGCACCAGUCGCGCUGGCCUGAGCGGCUGGGCCGGCCGUCGGUCGCGCGGCCUCGGCCAGGCUCGCCGCUCGUGUGGUUCCACGCCGUCUCCCUCGGCGAGGGCAUGGCCGCGCUCCCGGUCGUUUUUCACUGCGCGCGCCUCCACCCCGGCCUCCCUAUCCUCCUCACCACCACCACUCUCUCCGCCUUCAAAGUGAUAAAGGAUUUGCUACCCGAUGUUGUCAUAUAUCAGUUUGCACCUCUUGACUGUCCUGACGCAAUAGAAAGUUUCAUUGGAUACUGGAAGCCAAGUUUGAUUCUUCUCAUGGAAAGUGAAUUGUGGCCAAACCUCAUCAUGUCUGCAGCAGAGAAAGGGAUUGCAGUGGCUCUUUUAAAUGCCCGCAUGUCCUUGAAGUCGCUCAACCGUUGGUCUGUGCCUCUAGGGUUACCAUUAGUCUCUCUGAUGCUCUCGAAACUAUCACUUGUUAUCCCACUGAGUACCAUCCAAGCUGUUCGUUUUCAGUUGCUCCAUACACCACCGAACAAAAUCCAUUUCGCUGGCGAUUUAAAAUAUGCUGUUGGUGAUGUUGAGGUUCGGGAGAAAGAGUUGAAUACAAUCAAAGAUCUGCAGCGACAGUUCAAUGAUAGGCCCAUCUGGAUGGCAGCUUCAGUUCACAGAGGUGAAGAGGAAGUCAUUCUCCGCGUUCAUGGCGAGUUAAUCAAGGCGUAUCCUUCGCUACUUUUAAUUCUCGUGCCAAGACAUCCUCAGGACAUCAAGAAUGUUUCUUUAGCACUGAAAAAACAUAAGGUCAAUUUUGUGCUGAGGUCAACAAUGGAAUUGGUGUCUAUAAACACUAGGGUAUACGUGGUUGAUACUUUAGGGGAAUUAAGAAUGCUCUACAGGGUCACUCCAAUAGCAGUUGUGGGAGGCUCAUUUUUACCUAGCUUGUCUGGCCAUAAUUUUUCCGAGGCUGCUGCAGCUGGUUGUGCUGUUCUAACUGGUAAGGCAAAGGUCCCCAUGUUGGACAUUUCUAUCAUAUGCUGGUUGAAAUGUGGCAAAUAAAUCCUCUAGCUGUCAAGCAGUUGACAGGAGAAGCUGAACUGUUGGAGGUGCUAAAAGAACUGCUUGGCGAUUCCAAAGCUCUAGAAGCACGUCAAGGAGCUGCAAAAGAUGCAUUUUCCAUCAUGUCACAUGGAGUUGUGAACCGUGUAUGGAAUCUGGUCUCCAGGUUCGCCAUCGACUCCCAACAGAAACGUGGAAUAGUUGAUUAAGCCUAUUGGAUUUCUUCAGGGACUGCCUCAGUACGUAUGGCGACCCUCCCUCGAAAGCCGGAGGUCUCAAGAAUUUCUUCGUACAACCUGUUUUGCAGUUUUCAUAUGAUUGUACUACCAAACAUCACAUGUCUGUUGAGUGGUGACAAAGGAGACAGAUCUCAAAUUAUAGGCAACCCAACUAGUCCUGCAGUCGCUUGAAGGAACGCUGGAACAGUAUCCCAAUCCUAGUUUUGUCUAUUCUGUUCGAUUUACUCCUAUCUCAGAGAUCUAGUAUUCCCUCCAAUCCAAAUUAAUUGUCACGGCUUUAGUACAACUUAAUAUGUUUCUGGAAAAUUCUUCUGGGCAUAGAUUUCAAAAUGAGACCCAAAUUUAGUUCAGGAA